RNAcentral lists this ribosomal RNA (1338 nucleotides) under Triticum aestivum (bread wheat). Its description in RNAcentral is "partial small subunit ribosomal RNA". The record is from RNAcentral. Lineage: Eukaryota; Viridiplantae; Streptophyta; Magnoliopsida; Poales; Poaceae.
AUGCUAUCCCUGGGCGCCCUCCGCAAGCUCUGCGCCGCCUUCGACGCCGUCGCGCUCACCAUCAUCGCCGCCGGCCUCUCCCACCCCCGCUGCCGCCCCUUCUCCGCGCGCGCGGCCCCUCCGCCGGACUUCCCCACCAUUGCCUCCUGCCGAGCCGCGGUCGCGGCCUCCAAGCGCCGCCGCCAGCCCUCUUCGGCCCCCGCCGAGGCGCAGCCGGAACGGCCCGCGGACGCCGAGGCGCCGGUGCUGGUCAGGAUCAAGAGAGAGCGGGACCCGGUUCGGCUGUACGAGCUGUUCAAGGCCAAUGCGGACAACCGCGUCCUGGUCGAGAACCGGUUCGCGUUCGAGGACGCGGUGGCGCGACUGGCAGGUGCUCGACGGAAUGACCUCGUGGAGGAGAUCCUCGAGCAGCACAAGGCGCUGCCCCAGGGAAGGCGGGAGGGGUUCGUGAUCAGGGUCAUUGGCCUGUAUGGGAGGGCCCGGAUGCCGGAGCAUGCUCUCCGGACGUUCCGGGAGAUGGAGAUGUACGGGUGCGAGCGCACGGUCAAGUCGCUCAAUGCCACGAUGAAGGUGCUGAUGCAAGCACGGCUCUUUGAUGAGGCCCUGCGGCUGUUGGACGAGGCAUCGCCUACAUACGGGGUUGAGCUGGAUGACAUAUCGUAUAACACAGUGGUGAAGAUGGCGUGCGACAUGGGGGAGCUCCAUGCAGCGUACCGGGUAAUGCAGGAGAUGGAGAAGGAAGGAGUGCGGCCAGAUGUCAUCACAUACACGACACUGAUGGCUGCGUUCUAUAAGAAUGGCCACCGUGAGGUUGGGGAUGGCCUGUGGAACCUCAUGAGGUUGAGGGGUUGCAUGCCCACACUAACCAGUUACAAUGUAAGGAUUCAGUUCCUGAUCAACAGGAAAAGGGGCUGGCAGGCAAAUGAUCUGGUGCGGAAAAUGUAUGCAGCGGGGAUAACACCGGAUGAGAUCACAUAUAACUUGGUUAUUAAGGGAUUUUUUGUGAUAGGUGAGCAUGAGAUGGCGAAGACGGUCUUUGGUGCGAUGCAUGGGAGGGGAUGCAAGCCAAAUGAAAGGAUUUACCAGACAAUGGUGCAUUACCUAUGUAAGCGAAGGGAGUUUAAUUUGGCAUUCAGAUUGUGCAAAGACAGCAUGGAGAAGAACUGGUUUCCGAGUGUCGAUACCAUUCACCAUCUGCUGAAAGGCCUUAUGGUAAUUAAAAAGGACAGGAACGCCCGAGAGAUAAUGAAGUUGGUUGCUGAGAGAAAACCUUCCUAUUCAGUUGAUGACGUGAAGGCCUUCCAAGACAUAUUGUCUCAUGGGAAGACUGGAAGAUAA